Molecule: ribosomal RNA, 1133 nt
Filed under: Staphylococcus epidermidis
Lineage: Bacteria; Bacillati; Bacillota; Bacilli; Caryophanales; Staphylococcaceae
Description: bacterial SSU rRNA
Source: RNAcentral
AGGAUGAACGCUGGCGGCGUGCCUAAUACAUGCAAGUCGAGCGAACAGAYGAGGAGCUUGCUCCUCUGACGUUAGCGGCGACGGGUGAGUAACACGUGGAUAACCUACCUAUAAGACUGGGAUAACUUCGGGAAACCGGAGCUAAUACCGGAUAAUAUAUUGAACCGCAUGGUUCAAUAGUGAAAGACGGUUUGCUGUCACUUAUAGAUGGAUCCGCGCCGCAUUAGCUAGUUGGUAAGGUAACGCUUACCAAGGCAACGAUGCGUAGCCGACCUGAGAGGGUGAUCGGCCACACUGGAACUGAGACACGGUCCAGACUCCUACGGGAGGCAGCAGUAGGGAAUCUUCCGCAAUGGGCGAAAGCCUGACGGAGCAACGCCGCGUGAGUGAUGAAGUCUUCGGAUYGUAAAACUCUGUUAUUAGGGAAGAACAAAUGUGUAAGUAACUAUGCACGUCUUGACGGUACCUAAUCAGAAAGCCACGGCUAACUACGUGCCAGCAGCCGCGGUAAUACGUAGGUGGCAAGCGUUAUCCGGAUUAUUGGGCGUAAAGCGCGCGUAGGCGGUUUUUUAAGUCUGAUUGAAAGCCCACGGCUCAACCGUGGAGGGUCAUUGGAAACUGGAAAACUUGAGUGCAGAAGAGGAAAGUGGAAUUCCAUGUGUAGCGGUGAAAUGCGCAGAGAUAUGGAGGAACACCAGUGGCGAAGGCGACUUUCUGGUCUGUAACUGACGCUGAUGGCGAAAGCGUGGGGAUCAAACAGGAUUAGAUACCCUGGUAGUCCACGCCGUAAACGAUGAGUGCUAAGUGUUAGGGGGUUUCCGCCCCUUAGUCUGCAGCUAACGCAUUAAGCACUCCGCCUGGGGAGUACGACCGCAAGGUUGAAACUCAAAGGAAUUGACGGGGACCCGCACAAGCGGUGGAGCAUGUGUUUAAUUCGAAGCAACGCGAAGAACCUUACCAAAUCUUGACAUCCUCUGAYCCCUCUAGAGAUAGAGUUUUCCCCUUCGGGGACAGAGUGACAGGUGGUGCAUGGUUGUCGUCAGCUCGUGUCGUGAGAUGUUGGUUAAGUCCCGCAACGAGCGCAACCCUUAAGCUUAGUUGCCAUCAUUAAGUUGGCACUCUAAGUUGACUGC